This 427-nucleotide ribosomal RNA is filed under the name uncultured bacterium. RNAcentral describes it as "partial 16S ribosomal RNA". It matches the Rfam family "Bacterial small subunit ribosomal RNA", at positions 355 to 774 of the family's 1533-position model. The record is from RNAcentral.
UAGGGAAUCUUCCGCAAUGGGCGAAAGCCUGACGGAGCAACGCCGCGUGAGUGAAGAAGGUCUUCGGAUCGUAAAACUCUGUUAUUAGGGAAGAACAAAUGUGUAAGUAACUAUGCACGUCUUGACGGUACCUAAUCAGAAAGCCACGGCUAACUACGUGCCAGCAGCCGCGGUAAUACGUAGGUGGCAAGGGUUAUCCGGAAUUAUUGGGCGUAAAGCGCGCGUAGGCGGUUUUUUAAGUCUGAUGUGAAAGCCCACGGCUCAACCGUGGAGGGUCAUUGGAAACUGGAAAACUUGAGUGCAGAAGAGGAAAGUGGAAUUCCAUGUGUAGCGGUGAAAUGCGCAGAGAUAUGGAGGAACACCAGUGGCGAAGGCGACUUUCUGGUCUGUAACUGACGCUGAUGUGCGAAAGCGUGGGGAUCAAACA